GGACGCGUGGCGAAAUGGUAUCGCGCUUGACUACGAAUCAAGAGAUUGCGGGUUCGAAUCCCGUCGCAUCCUC
RNAcentral lists this transfer RNA (73 nucleotides) under Fonsecaea monophora. RNAcentral describes it as "tRNA-Arg". It matches the Rfam family "tRNA". Rfam says of the family: Transfer RNA (tRNA) molecules are approximately 80 nucleotides in length. RNAcentral also lists the same sequence under 1 other name. Lineage: Eukaryota; Fungi; Ascomycota; Eurotiomycetes; Chaetothyriales; Herpotrichiellaceae. The record is from RNAcentral.